UGCGUCGGCCGGGAGUCGAACCCGGGUCAACAGUUUGGGAAUCAGCUAUUCUGACCAUUGAACUACCGACGC
This 72-nucleotide transfer RNA is filed under the name Araneus ventricosus. Its description in RNAcentral is "tRNA-Gly". The record is from RNAcentral. Lineage: Eukaryota; Metazoa; Arthropoda; Arachnida; Araneae; Araneidae.